Molecule: ribosomal RNA, 497 nt
Filed under: uncultured bacterium
Lineage: Bacteria
Description: partial 16S ribosomal RNA
Rfam family: Bacterial small subunit ribosomal RNA
Source: RNAcentral
GACGAACGCUGGCGGCGUGCCUAAUACAUGCAAGUAGAACGCUGAAGAGAGGAGCUUGCUCUUCUUGGAUGAGUUGCGAACGGGUGAGUAACGCGUAGGUAACCUGCCUUGUAGCGGGGGAUAACUAUUGGAAACGAUAGCUAAUACCGCAUAACAAUGGAUGACACAUGUCAUUUAUUUGAAAGGGGCAAUUGCUCCACUACAAGAUGGACCUGCGUUGUAUUAGCUAGUAGGUGAGGUAAUGGCUCACCUAGGCGACGAUACAUAGCCGACCUGAGAGGGUGAUCGGCCACACUGGGACUGAGACACGGCCCAGACUCCUACGGGAGGCAGCAGUAGGGAAUCUUCGGCAAUGGGGGCAACCCUGACCGAGCAACGCCGCGUGAGUGAAGAAGGGUUUCGGAUCGUAAAGCUCUGUUGUAAGUCAAGAACGGGUGUGAGAGUGGAAAGUUCACACUGUGACGGUGGCUUACCAGAAAGGGACGGCUAACAACGUG